UUAAGUUCAGCGGGUAUCCCUACCUGAUCCGAGGUCAACCUUGAUAAAAUUUGGGGUUGCUGGCAGGCACAUAGCCGGUCAUCCAAAGCGAGAAGAAUUACUACGCUUGAAGCCGAAUGGCACCGCCACUGAUUUUACGGCCCGCCCUAGCGGGUGAGGCCUAAUACCAAGCAGAGCUUGAGGGUUGUAAUGACGCUCGA
RNAcentral lists this unclassified non-coding RNA (200 nucleotides) under Helotiales sp. Its description in RNAcentral is "partial internal transcribed spacer 2". The record is from RNAcentral. Lineage: Eukaryota; Fungi; Ascomycota; Leotiomycetes; Helotiales.